GGGAGUGAUAGCACCUGAAACCAGGUACUUACAAGCUGUGGGAGCAGAUUUUUAGUGGGAGUGCAUACUUUUUGUAGCACGAGCCAACGAGAUAAGUUAAUUAGCACGGUUAAGCACUUAAUGUGUAAAGGCGUAGCGACAGAGAGUUUUAACUGAGAGUUCAGUUACUUGACGUAGACCCGAAACCGGGCGACCUACCCAUGAGCAGGAUGAAGCGAAAGUAAAAUUUCGUGG
RNAcentral lists this ribosomal RNA (234 nucleotides) under Clostridioides difficile. RNAcentral's name for it is "partial 23S ribosomal RNA". It matches the Rfam family "Bacterial large subunit ribosomal RNA", at positions 534 to 769 of the family's 2925-position model. The record is from RNAcentral. Lineage: Bacteria; Bacillati; Bacillota; Clostridia; Peptostreptococcales; Peptostreptococcaceae.